Molecule: non-coding RNA, 227 nt
Filed under: Candidatus Omnitrophota bacterium
Lineage: Bacteria; Pseudomonadati; Candidatus Omnitrophota
Source: RNAcentral
GACAUAUUUCACUAUAUGGGCGCCCGAGAGGGCUUAAAAGGGAAUUCCAAUCCCGCCGAUUAUCCCGCCUCUGGCGGGAUGGCGGGGAAACGGAAACGGUCCCGCCGCUGUAGCCCGGCAUUAAUAAACCUUUUGGCAAUAUGCCACUGUUCUAAAUUGUAUAGAGCGGGAAGGCAGCUAUAAAAGGGCUGGGCAGUCAGAAUACCUGCCUAUAUAUUAAGGCAUCG